UAUGGGUCCGUCAACAGCGCGUCUGGAACCCCGUCAGGCCCGGAAGGGAGCAGCGGUAGCGGGAAAGCGAGUGUGACGGGCCCUUUCCG
Molecule: signal recognition particle RNA, 89 nt
Filed under: Polyangiaceae bacterium
Lineage: Bacteria; Pseudomonadati; Myxococcota; Polyangiales; Polyangiaceae
Description: signal recognition particle sRNA small type
Rfam family: Bacterial small signal recognition particle RNA
About the family: The signal recognition particle (SRP) is a universally conserved ribonucleoprotein involved in the co-translational targeting of proteins to membranes. Archaeal SRP consists of a 7S RNA and homologues of the eukaryotic SRP19 and SRP54 proteins.
Source: RNAcentral